CUCUGUUUAGACAGGUCCAGGGAGAAGCAGCUCACCUCCUCUGUUUCGUGCCCAAUACAUGACUUGGUAUAUAGAAGCAUCGUGCCCAAUACAUGACUUGGUUCAUAGAAGCAUCGUGCCCAAUACAUGACUUGGUUGAUAGAAGCAUCGUGCCCAAUACAUGACUUGGUUGAUAGAAGCAUCGUGCCCAAUACAUGACUGGUUCAUAGAAGCAUCGUGCCCAAUACAUGACUUGGUUCAAAGAAGCAUCGUGCCCAAUACAUGACUUGGUUGAUAGAAGCAUCGUGCCCAAUACAUGACUUGGUUGAUAGAAGCAUCGUGCCCAAUACAUGACUUGGUUGAUAGAAGCAUCGUGCCCAAUACAUGACUGGUUCAUAGAAGCAUCGUGCCCAAUACAUGACUUGGUUCAAAGAAGCAUCGUGCCCAAUACAUGACUGGUUCAUAGAAGCAUCGUGCCCAAUACAUGACUGGUUCAUAGAAGCAUCGUGCCCAAUACAUGACUUGGUUCAAAGAAGCAUCGUGCCCAAUACAUGACUUGGUUCAUAGAAGCAUCGUGCCCAAUACAUGACUUGGUUGAUAGAAGCAUCUUGCCCAAUACAUGACUUGGUUGAUAGAAGCAUCGUGCCCAAUACAUGACUGGUUCAUAGAAGUAUCGUGCCCAAUACAUGACUUGGUUCAAAGAAGCAUCGUGCCCAAUACAUGACUGGUUCAUAGAAGCAUCGUGCCCAAUACAUGACAGGUUCAUAGAAGCAUCGUGCCCAAUACAAGACUUAGUUCAAAGAUGCAUCGUGCCCAAAACAUGACUUGGUUCAUAGAAGCAUCGUGCCCAAUACAUGACUUGGUUCAUAGAAACAUCGUGCCCAAUACAUGACUUGGUUCAUAGAAGCAUCGUGCCCAAUACAUGACUUGGUUCAUAGAAACAUCGUGCCCAAAACAUGACUUGGUUCAUAGAAACAUCGUGCCCAAUACAUGACUUGGUUGAUAGAAGCAUCGUGCCCAAUACAUGACUUGGUUGAUAGAAGCAUCGUGCCCAAUACAUGACUUGGUUGAUAGAAGCAUCGUGCCCAAUACAUGACUUGGCUCAUUCUAUGUAGUGUUCUAGUGCUGUGAUAUUGGAACACAGCCACUGUGAGUCAUCAGGCCUAUUGUUCGUUCUCAGUCACAGUACACAUUAAUUAGUAGUUAGUGAGUAAUCCCUUGCAGCUCAGUUGGUCCCGUGUGGCUCAGUUGGUCGAGCAUGGUGCUUGCAACGCCAGGGUUGUAGGUUUGAUUCCCACGGGGGACCAGUAUGAAAAUGUAUGCACUCACUACUGUAAGUUGCUCUGGAUAAGAGUAUCUGCUAAAUGACAAAUGUAAUCCACAAUGAAUAUCCCUCUAGAUCAGGGAUGGGCAACUUUGAUGAGGGUGGGGGCCACAUAAAGUCUGAACUCAUCAUGAGGUACUGCAGCUCACAGUUAUGCAAACCCACAUCCAUCCAGCGUUAAUUUGGUGCAAUUCUACACAAUUUGCCAUGGGGUGUAGAGAAAAUGCUGCAAUUCUACAGAUUUUGCCAAAGGGUGGAGAGAAAUGUUUGCAGUUUUUCAUACGAUAUCUGAGUGAGACUGACUAACUAAAUCAAUGUGGGCCGCCCGGCCGUAAUACGACCAUGAUAAAAAGUUUAGAUAACUAGCCGUUAAACUCAUUAAACAAUCUACAAAAUGUUAGCUGACUUGGGCUAAUUGACUGACUGUCAGUGACAUAAGACAUACACUGGUGAUGCAACAACCACAUUACUAAAUAGCCAAUUGUGUAUCCUACUAUUCGGACUCUCAACAGGAAGUCGAGACCCCAAAGGAGUUCACAAAAAACUAGAUUAUAAAAUAACAGUUGCCCAUCCCUGAUCUAGUGCCGUCGAUGGUUUCAAUAGGCCCCUUGUUGUCGAAUAUAAAUUACAUUUAAGAGGAGAGAAUCAAAGGAAACUGUAGUUACAUUAAUCACAUUAUAUUAGUUCUGUUAGAAUACAACAACACACUAACAAACUGAAAGACAUCAAGGUAAUGAGCUUUGUCUAAUGUUCUAACAGUACAAAUAAUCAAUUUGAAAGUCUCUGAAAGAAAAUAGGAUAGGUAGAGUGUCAAGGAAUGGAAAUAGGAUAGGUAGAGUGUAAAGGAAAGAAGAUAGGAUAGGUAAAGUGUAAAGGAAAGAAGAUAGGAUAGGUAAAGUGUAAAGGAAUGAAAAUAGGAUAGGUAGAGUGUCAAGGAAAGAAGAUAGGAUAGGUAGAGUGUCAAGGAAAGAAGAUAGGAUAGGUAGAGUGUCAAGGAAGGUGUCCAAAAUGGCCUGGUCGUCACUCUCUAUAGAAUAUAAUCAGUUUUCUUCUUCUCAUUACGAAUAUAAUCCAUUUAAAUGAAGUCUAACCCUAGACGAGUGGUUCAGGGCACCUUGUACCAACUCCUACACACUGACCCCAGAGGGGAUAUCUGGGUCUAUAAGGGAAGACCUGAGCCAUGCAACCCAGAGGGGAUAUCUGGGUCUAUAAGGGAAGACCUGAGCCAGGCAACCCAGAGGGGAUAUCUGGGUCUAUAAGGGAAGAACUGAGCCAGACAACCCCUUCCCAGUUCACUCCUAGCAUGCUACUGUUCCAUAAUGCUAUCUACUUCCAAUUUUCAGGAACCCACAUCUCCAGAAGGGAUGUCUUGGUCUCUGGGGAAGGUCUGAACCAGUCAACCCAGAGGGGAUGUCUAGGUCUCUGGAGAAGGUCUGAACCAGUCAACCCAGAAGGGAUGUCUUGGUCUCUGGGGAAGGUCUGAACCAGUCAACCCAGAGGGGAUGUCUAGGUCUCUGGAGAAGGUCUGAACCAGUCAACCCAGAGGGGAUGUCUAGGUCUCUGGAGAAGGUCUGAACCAGUCAACCCAGAAGGGAUGUCUAGGUCUCUGGGGAAGGUCUGAGCCAGUCAACCCAGAGGGGAUGUCUAGGUGUCUGGGGAAGGUCUGAACCAGUCAACUCAGAGGGGAUGUCUAGGUGUCUGGGGAAGGUCUGAACCAGUCAACUCAGAGGGGAUGUCUAGGUGUCUGGGGAAGGUCUGAACCAGUCAACCCAGAGGGGAUGUCUAGGUGUCUGGGGAAGGUCUGAACCAGUCAACUCAGAGGGGAUGUCUAGGUGUCUGGGGAAGGUCUGAACCAGUCAACUCAGAGGGGAUGUCUAGGUGUCUGGGGAAGGUCUGAACCAGUCAACCCAGAGGGGAUGUCUAGGUCUCUGGAGAAGGUCUGAACCAGUCAACCCAGAGGGGAUGUCUAGGUCUCUGGAGAAGGUCUGAGCCAGGCGUUCCACCCUAUUCUAUAUGGAGGUAGAGUCCCUAUCCUCCAGCCCAGGAAUGUGUCCCAAAUGGAAGUCUAUUCCCAAUUUAGUGCACUACAUUUGACCAGACAUUUGGGAUGACACAAGCCUCAGAGGCCAUGAAAUCCACCUGGUCAGGGAUCUGCCCUCCAGUCUCCAUGCAAUAAUUCUGGAGCUGCUGGGUUUAUAAAUGAGGCCACAUAUAUACCACCAUCAACCCCUACUCUAGCACCAUCCUGGCUGGUGCUGCAAAAUUACAGUGACUUUACCAAAAUCCAUAUUCCCUCCUGAUUCUGGGAAUCUUCCAAUCAGGUUUCAUGGGAAAGUUAUCAGAAUAUUGCAAACCUAAUCCAGGCAGUGCUGCUUGGUGUUGUCAAUCGAAUUAUGCUUGCAUUCCAAAUAUGGUCUCCACCUGAGAAUAAGGAGAAACCUUUUUUGUUCUAGGUAGAACCAUUUUUGGUUCCAUGUAGAACCCGUUUGAGUUCCAUGUAGAACUUCAAAGGGUUCUCCUAUGGGGACAGCCGAAGAACCCUUUGAGGUUCUACAUAGCUCCUUUUUUUCUAAGCGUGUACACAUACUCUGGCAGCCGUUUCACUGCUUUCUGACAUCCCAUAUGUCAGUGACAGCCACAGAUUAGGACUUUCAGAAAGUUACAUAAAAACAAAAAUGCACGACAAACGCAGCAGUACCCUCAUCCCUUCAAGGGUGACCACAUCCCAAAUUACAACCUGUUCUUUAUUUAGUGCACUACUUUUGACCAGAGCGCUAUGGGCUAUGUAAGGAAUGGGUACACUACAUUGGGAAGAGGGUGCUACUUGGGACACAGCCAGUGAAGAUCAGCAGCAACCCAGACUACUCUUGUCAACACUGUCAGUGUGAUUCCAAUGCUCUGUCUGUCUGUCUGUCUGUCUGUCUGUCUGUCUGUCUGUCUGUCUGUCUGUCUGUCUGUCUGUCUGGUUCCAACACUCUGUCUGUCUGUCUGUCUGUCUGUCUGUCUGUCUGUCUGUCUGUCUGUCUGUCUGUCUGUCUGUCUGUCUGUCUGUCUGUCUGUCUGUCUGUCUGUCUGUCUGGUUCCAACACUCUGUCUGUCUGUCUGUCUGUCUGUCUGUCUGUCUGUCUGUCUGUCUGUCUGUCUGUCUGUCUGUCUGUCUGUCUGUCUGUCUGUCUGUCUGUCUGUCUG
This 4492-nucleotide transfer RNA is filed under the name Salmo salar (Atlantic salmon). RNAcentral describes it as "lncRNA (ENSSSAG00000084987.1)". The stretch from base 1300 to 1353 matches the Rfam family "UnaL2 LINE 3' element". The record is from RNAcentral. Lineage: Eukaryota; Metazoa; Chordata; Actinopteri; Salmoniformes; Salmonidae.